Molecule: ribosomal RNA, 480 nt
Filed under: uncultured bacterium
Lineage: Bacteria
Description: bacterial SSU rRNA
Rfam family: Bacterial small subunit ribosomal RNA
Source: RNAcentral
GAUGAACGCUAGCUACAGGCUUAACACGUGCAAGUCGAGGGGAAACGAUAUUGGAAGCUUGCUUCCGAUAGGCGUCGACCGGCGCACAGGUGAGUAACGCGUAUCCAACCUGCCCACCACUUGGGAAUAACCUUGCGAAAGUAAGACUAAUGCCCAAUGACAUUGAGUGCAGACAUCUAAUCUCAAUUAAAGAUUUAUCGGUGAUGGAUGGGGAUGCGUCCGAUUAGCUUGUUGGCGGGGUAACGGCCCACCAAGGCAACGAUCGGUAGGGGUUCUGAGAGGAAGGUCCCCCACAUUGGGAACUGAGACACGGUCCAAAACUCCUACGGGAGGCAGCAGUGAGGAAUAUUGGUCAAUGGGGCGAGAGCCCUGAACCAGCCAAGUAGCGUGCAGGAUGACGGCCCUAUGGGUUGAAACUGCUUUUAUAAGGGAAUAAAGUGGGUCACGUGUGACUUUUUGCAUGUACCUUAUGAAUAAGGA